Molecule: ribosomal RNA, 390 nt
Filed under: Triticum aestivum (bread wheat)
Lineage: Eukaryota; Viridiplantae; Streptophyta; Magnoliopsida; Poales; Poaceae
Description: partial small subunit ribosomal RNA
Source: RNAcentral
AUGGUCUUGCAAGCUCAAACAAAUGGCUUAAUUGAUGGGCUGGCCUCGGAUUUGGUAGAUAAUGGAGUGGCUAUUCUGCAAUAUGCAGAUGACCCAAUCAUGUGCAUUGAACAUAAUCCUGAAAAAGCACUCAAUUUGAAGUUGUUGCUGUAUAUGUUCGAACUCAUGCCAGGACUGGAAAUUAAUUUUCAGAAAAGCGAAAUCCUUAGUGUGGGAGGGGAUGAUAAUAUUCUAAAAGAAUAUGCUGAUAUUUUUGGUUGUCGGAUUGGGCACUUCCUGAUGAAAUAUCUUGGGGUCCCUAUUAGUUAUUCGAACAUGAAGGGUGUGGAUUGGGACUACCUUGAGGCAAAAUUUGUCAAAAGUUGUGAAUCUGGUCUAAGAAGUAAUGCC